Long non-coding RNA from Rhipicephalus sanguineus (brown dog tick), 275 nucleotides. RefSeq lists it as uncharacterized. The record is from RefSeq and is a predicted model, not a curated record. The transcript has 3 exons. NCBI's taxonomy places the organism in Eukaryota, Metazoa, Arthropoda, Arachnida, Ixodida, Ixodidae.
GCAACGAUACUUCGACAGCGUGGCAGGUGUGUCGCCCACACAACCAGAUGGACAAGGCUUCCUUGGAGUCCCGCCUGAAAGCACGAGUGAGUGCAGCAGAGAGCUCCUGCCGUCCGAGAAUUCCAGCUCUUCAAUCUGUUCUGACGAAGGACCUAAGCCGCCGCCCCUGAUCUCUCCGGACCUCUCGACCACCACAGGUCCAAAGAAAUCGCCGGAACCACAUAGCCACGCCGAAGACCGCUAUGCAAAGUAUAAGCGGUUUAUGAGGGAGGAGU